AGUGAACGCUGGCGGUAGGCCUAACACAUGCAAGUCGAACGGCAGCACAGUAAGAUCUUGCUCUUACGGGUGGCGAGUGGCGGACGGGUGAGGAAUACAUCGGAAUCUACUUUUUCGUGGGGGAUAACGUAGGGAAACUUACGCUAAUACCGCAUACGACCUACGGGUGAAAGCAGUGGAUCUUCGGACCUUGCGCGAUUGAAUGAGCCGAUGUCGGAUUAGCUAGUUGGCGGGGUAAAGGCCCACCAAGGCGACGAUCCGUAGCUGGUCUGAGAGGAUGAUCAGCCACACUGGAACUGAGACACGGUCCAGACUCCUACGGGAGGCAGCAGUGGGGAAUAUUGGACAAUGGGCGCAAGCCUGAUCCAGCGAUACCGCGUGGGUGAAGAAGGCCUUCGGGUUGUAAAGACCUUUUGUUGGGAAAGAAAAGCAGCAGGUUAAUACCACGCUGUUCUGACGGUACCCAAAGAAUAAGCACCGGCUAACUUCGUG
This 492-nucleotide ribosomal RNA is filed under the name uncultured bacterium. RNAcentral describes it as "partial 16S ribosomal RNA". It matches the Rfam family "Bacterial small subunit ribosomal RNA", at positions 29 to 507 of the family's 1533-position model. The record is from RNAcentral.